UCGGGAGUCAGACUGCGAGUGAUAAGAUCCGUAGUCGAAAGGGAAACAGCCCAGACCACCAGUUAAGGUCCCCAAAUAUAUGUUAAGUGGAAAAGGAUGUGGGGUUGCUUAGACAACCAGGAUGUUGGCUUAGAAGCAGCCACCAUUGAAAGAGUGCGUAAUAGCUCACUGGUCGAGUGACCCCGCGCCGAAAAUGUACCGGGGCUAAACAUAUUACCGAAACUGUGGAUGAACCUCUUUAGAGGUUCGUGGUAGGAGAGCGUUCUAAGGGCGGUGAAGUCAGACCGGAAGGACUGGUGGAGCGCUUAGAAGUGAGAAUGCCGGUAUGAGUAGCGAAAGAAGGGUGAGAAUCCCUUCCACCGAAUAUCUAAGGUUUCCUGAGGAAGGCUCGUCCGCUCAGGGUUAGUCGGGACCUAAGCCGAGGCCGAUAGGCGUAGGCGAUGGACAACAGGUAGAGAUUCCUGUACCAGUGCUAAUUGUUUAACCGAUGGGGUGACACAGAAGGAUAGGGAAUCGCACGAAUGGAAAUGUGCGUCCAAGCAGUGAGUGUGAGAAGUAGGCAAAUCCGCUUCUCGC
Molecule: ribosomal RNA, 576 nt
Filed under: Listeria monocytogenes
Lineage: Bacteria; Bacillati; Bacillota; Bacilli; Caryophanales; Listeriaceae
Description: partial 23S ribosomal RNA
Rfam family: Bacterial large subunit ribosomal RNA
Source: RNAcentral